GGUUUAAUUCGAUGCAACGCGAAUAACCUUACCUGGCCUUGACAUCCACGGAACCCUGCAGAGAUGCGGGGGUGCCUUCGGGAACCGUGAGACAGGUGCUGCAUGGCUGUCGUCAGCUCGUGUCGUGAGAUGUUGGGUUAAGUCCCGCAACGAGCGCAACCCUUGUCCCUAGUUGCCAGCAUUCAGUUGGGCACUCCAGGGAGACCGCCGGUGACAAACCGGA
This 223-nucleotide ribosomal RNA is filed under the name uncultured bacterium. RNAcentral describes it as "partial 16S ribosomal RNA". It matches the Rfam family "Bacterial small subunit ribosomal RNA", at positions 943 to 1167 of the family's 1533-position model. The record is from RNAcentral.